Molecule: long non-coding RNA, 524 nt
Organism: Rhinichthys klamathensis goyatoka
Lineage: Eukaryota; Metazoa; Chordata; Actinopteri; Cypriniformes; Leuciscidae
Exons: 4
Source: RefSeq, a predicted model, not a curated record
GUGAAGAUUUGUCAGUUCAGAAAUGUCAUGGAAAAUAGAUUAGUCAUAAAGACAAGACGUUUUUAAGAAAACCCUGUCAAGUAAGAUUUGUGGCAGUAAAGUAUGUGAUCCUCGGCAGGAAUCAUCUCCUCUAACAUAUGGGUGUCUCUUGGUCCAAAAGGCUUCUCUGUGGGCAAGAGUCUGCUGAGCUAUGAAGGAGGUGUUCCGGACUCUCUGCUCUCCUACAGGAUGACAGCUGGUGAGGAGCCGGCCUCUCCAAUGAGGAAACCAGCGACAUGCAAGAGAACGGCGAAGCCCGAAGCAGCCCCCAAGAUCCUUUGCAUCACUCCUCGGGCCAAUCAUCUCUGUUUGAGGUACGUGACAUAGCAAGUGCCCUCCUGUAAAAUCCGUACCCAUGGGAUUGCUCUGUUUCUCUGUGUUUGGGCAGCUUGGCGCGGUUCAAACAGGGUUCAGGAAAGUGCACGCUUGUGAGGGUACGCAAGAUCUACAGGAACCCCUUCAUGUGCUCGGUCAGUGUUGGAGAG